Molecule: long non-coding RNA, 636 nt
Organism: Seriola aureovittata
Lineage: Eukaryota; Metazoa; Chordata; Actinopteri; Carangiformes; Carangidae
Exons: 2
Source: RefSeq, a predicted model, not a curated record
GCAACCAGGGAAUGAGCUUCCUGUAGCCAAUGCAGGGGAAAAUAGCCACAGAGGAGGGCAUUGCAGAUCAAAGUGUGUAGCUAGCAUGACAGCGAGCAAGCCUGGAGACCGACUACACCCCGCCAGCAGAGCGCCAAGGUCAGUUUCUGCCACAGAAUCCGGCUUCAAUCCUCUUGUCCAUCUGUCUCCACUUCAUCUUGAUGACCAGCAUCAGGAAACAUGUGAUGUAAAGCAACAACCUCCACCUGGAGUCAACUUUCUGGCUUUGUUCAGUGACAGUUCUGCCCUUUGAAAACAAGGUCAAUGACAAUUACAACUGAAAUAAGAUUUUGAGUGAGCAGCUGGUCUACACAGUGGGCAGCAGAAUACAUUGAGGACUAUUGUUCAGAAUCUCCCAAAAAUGUUUAUUUGAAGCCAAACUUUUACCGUGGCUACUGUAUUCCAUAUGGCUAACAUCAUCGAGAUCAAUACAGAUCAAUCGAGAGUGCUUAUGAUUAUAAAUUUGCCCUCUUGAUAGUGGCACAGGGCCUAUAAUACUGUAUGGUUCUCUACUACUGGUGUAGAGAAUAAUGUGUAAUAGGAACAUGGUUUUUAAAGCUUAAACAUUUUUACAAUAAAAAUGGAUCAAAUGAUAAA